CACGUAGGGCGCGAGCGUUGUCCGGAAUUAUUGGGCGUAAAGAGCUCGUAGGCGGCCUGUUGCGUCCGCUGUGAAAGCCCGGGGCUUAACCCCGGGUCGGCAGUGGAUACGGGCAGGCUAGAGGUAGGUAGGGGAGAAUGGAAUUCCCGGUGUAGCGGUGAAAUGCGCAGAUAUCGGGAGGAACACCGGUGGCGAAAGCGGCUCACUGGACCACAACUGACGCUGAUGCGCGAAAGCUAGGGGAGCAAACAGG
This 253-nucleotide ribosomal RNA is filed under the name uncultured bacterium. RNAcentral's name for it is "partial 16S ribosomal RNA". It matches the Rfam family "Bacterial small subunit ribosomal RNA", at positions 524 to 776 of the family's 1533-position model. The record is from RNAcentral.